This is a long non-coding RNA of Labrus mixtus (cuckoo wrasse), 756 nucleotides long. RefSeq lists it as uncharacterized. The transcript has 2 exons. NCBI's taxonomy places the organism in Eukaryota, Metazoa, Chordata, Actinopteri, Labriformes, Labridae. The record is from RefSeq and is a predicted model, not a curated record.
AACACUGGCGUCUUCCGAUGCUUCAAAUGUCAUGCAAUCAGGCUGGUCACGUGUCAGGUGAAACAGACCUCUGAUACGCCGGGCCAGAUGUCUAUAUGUCAGUCAACAGACUAGUCAUGCCGGGCCACGCGGCAGAGGUCGACGGACCCCACGUGCCGGGCCACAUGACUAUAGGGCAGCUUAGCGUCAUGCAUGCCACGUGUCAAGCGGUCAACGGACCCCAACAUGCCGGGCCACAUGACUUUAGGGCUUAUCAAUCGUCAUGAGGAGCCACUUGUUAGGGCAGCAGACCCAUACAUGCAGGCGUCAUGACUAUAGCUCAUUAGCAGUCGUGCCGGGCCACACGUUAGGUGGUCGACGGACCGAAACGUGCCGGGCCACACGACUAUAGGGCAGUUUAGCGGGUCAUGCGAGCCAUUGUCAGGUCAAGUAGACAUACCGGGCCUCAUGACCCAGUAAGUCACUAUCUGCACAAAGUGUAUGCCUAUUCAUGUCAUAUCAAUAAAUGAUCAUGGUUAUAUUACUCCAUCUAACUGUAAUUUCCCACACAGAUAUCCAUACAGCCAAUAAGGUAAGGCAUACGAUGAUGGUGCUUUCUUUCUCACUUUUAUUUUGGGGGGUCUCCUAGCCUGCUGUCGGCUUCAUUACCUUCCGAGUGGGAAGUCGUCACGAUGGAGUCUAAUCCCCCAAAGACUUUGCACAUUCAAAAUUAAAUUGUUGCACAUUUAUUGUAAAUAAAUAAUUGUUCAUUCUCAA